AUGGACGAUGGAGGCAGGGAGACGAAGACCUUUCUUCUUCCUUGUUGGUAUGAUUUGCUGUUGUUCUUCUUCUCCUUCCUCUGCGCUGAUGCUGGUGGGAGUUCCUGCUUUGCCCAGGCGGAUGGCCCGGCCGUGGUGCUGGACCGGUCGGAUGACUCGAGUUCUCUUCCUUCCGGAAGGGACACUUUUCGUGGUACUCAAAGACAAAGAUGGCGGCGGUUGUUGCAGGUGUGUCGGAUUGAUGUCCAUGCCCUCUCAGCGCUGGUGUCAAAAAAGGAGGAAGCAGCGUGGCGGCAAUUGUACCAUGGUCGAAGAUGA
This 318-nucleotide ribosomal RNA is filed under the name Triticum aestivum (bread wheat). Its description in RNAcentral is "partial small subunit ribosomal RNA". Lineage: Eukaryota; Viridiplantae; Streptophyta; Magnoliopsida; Poales; Poaceae. The record is from RNAcentral.